RNAcentral lists this ribosomal RNA (213 nucleotides) under uncultured bacterium. Its description in RNAcentral is "partial 16S ribosomal RNA". It matches the Rfam family "Bacterial small subunit ribosomal RNA", at positions 122 to 334 of the family's 1533-position model. The record is from RNAcentral.
CAACCUGCCCGAAAGACCGGGACAACAGCUCGAAAGGGCUGCUAAUACCGGAUGUGUCCACUUUGCCUCAUGGCUUGGUGAGUAAAUCAUUUAUGGCUUUCGGAGGGGCUUGCGGCCUAUCAGCUAGAUGGCGGUGUAACGGACCACCAUGGCGACGACGGGUAGCUGGUCUGAGAGGAUGGUCAGCCGGACUGGGACUGAGAUACGGCCCAG